RNAcentral lists this ribosomal RNA (468 nucleotides) under uncultured bacterium. Its description in RNAcentral is "partial 16S ribosomal RNA". It matches the Rfam family "Bacterial small subunit ribosomal RNA", at positions 28 to 507 of the family's 1533-position model. The record is from RNAcentral.
GACGAACGCUGGCGGCGUGCUUAACACAUGCAAGUCGAACGGAAAGGCCCUGCUUUUGUGGGGUGCUCGAGUGGCGAACGGGUGAGUAACACGUGAGUAACCUGCCCUUGACUUUGGGAUAACUUCAGGAAACUGGGGCUAAUACCGGAUAGGAGCUCCUGCUGCAUGGUGGGGGUUGGAAAGUUUCGGCUGUUGGGGAUGGACUCGCGGCUUAUCAGCUUGUUGGUGGGGUAGUGGCUUACCAAGGCUUUGACGGGUAGCCGGCCUGAGCGGGUGACCGGCCACAUUGGGACUGAGAUACGGCCCAGACUCCUACGGGAGGCAGCAGUGGGGAAUAUUGCACAGUGGGCGGAAGCCUGAUGCAGCAACGCCGCGUGCGGGAUGACGGCCUUCGGGUUGUAAACCGCUUUCGCCUGUGACGAAGCGUGAGUGACGGUAAUGGGUAAAGAAGCACCGGCUAACUACGUG